UCCGGUUUGGCACCGGCAGUCUCCCAUGAGUCCCCGACAUAACUCGCUGGCAACAUGGGACAGGGGUUGCGCUCGUUGGGGGACUUAACCCAACAUCUCACGACACGAGCUGACGACAGCCAUGCACCACCUGUACACAGGCCCCGAAGGGCUGCCGUAUUUCUACGGCAUUCCAGUGCAUGUCAAGCCCUGGUAAGGUUCUUCGCGUUGCGUCGAAUUAAACCACAUGCUCCGCUGCUUGUGCGGGCCCCCGUCAAUUCCUUUGAGUUUCAGCCUUGCGGCCGUACUCCCCAGGCGGGGCACUUAUCGCGUUAGCUGCGGCACCGAAGGGGUCGCUCCCCCCGGCACCUAGUGCCCAUCGUUUACGGCGUGGACUAC
Molecule: unclassified non-coding RNA, 378 nt
Filed under: uncultured Gaiellales bacterium
Lineage: Bacteria; Bacillati; Actinomycetota; Thermoleophilia; Gaiellales
Description: contains 16S-23S intergenic spacer region
Source: RNAcentral